This 1292-nucleotide long non-coding RNA is filed under the name Homo sapiens (human). RNAcentral's name for it is "non-protein coding lnc-SLC22A23-11:2". Lineage: Eukaryota; Metazoa; Chordata; Mammalia; Primates; Hominidae. The record is from RNAcentral.
UGGGCGACAGAGCGGGACUCUGUCUCAAAAAAGAAAAAAGAAGUGCUCACUCCCCAGCCUCAGGAGUGGCCAUGUCAACCCGGGGGGCACAGCCACACAGGCAAGGGCAGCCCUGGGUUGGCCUCAGCGUCAUGCGGCAUUGACACUGGGUGGACAUGCACUGGCCGGCCACAGGCCUACUAUGGCGGGAUGUGGGGAUUCCAGGUGAGGGGCAUGGAUGGUGGACAAGAUAGAGAGAGGUUUGGGGGUUCCUGUCAGCAGGCCUUGUUGUUGGGCUUGACAUCUGCAGAUCUUCCUUUCAACUCGGACCCACUCCAGACCUUGAGAUCCCCAGGGAUCAUGCAGAGUGAAAGUGAGCUUGCGUCACCCACCUCUCCAGUGGACUAGAGCUCCUCAGGACUAAGAUAUUCUGGCUUCCUCCAGGGGAGGAGGUAGGAGAAAAAUGAAUAAGAGGGAAAUGGGAAGGAAGAGAAGGAAGCAAACUCCCAGAAGAAGUUUGCAUCCAACGGCAAAAGAGGCAACAAAAAAUUACCAUCAAUAGCUGAGCCAAAGUAGAUCUAGUUCCUUCUGCAUCCCAAGCAUCACGCUAGGUAGGUACUCUCACAAAACACGGCUCAUUUUUUUUAAGGUGGAUUUUAUUUUACUCAUUUAAACAGCUUUAUUGAGGUAUAAACCCCACCCACAGAGAGAAUAUUUCUAUCCUCGCUUUUCAAAUAAAACCAUGAGGAACAGAGAAGUUGAGCAACUUCCCCACCAUUGCAAAGGUUUUAGAUAACGGGGCAGAGAUUUGGUGCAGAACUGUGAAGUCUCUGAACUCCCCUCACCCCACUCACAAUAAUGCUCCUGUUACAACAAAGAACGAAGAAAACGAGCGUUCCUGGGAUGAAUCCAUAUUGCUCCUGUGGAGUAAACCAUGACUAGGAAUGCAAGCGGGGCUGAGGCACAUAUCUGCCUCUCUCUGAUCUAACCCUUGUCAAACAAUGUGAUUUCCUUUCCACACCAGAGUGGAGAUCCUUUCUCUGCCCUAUGGCUGCACACCUGCAGCCUUUGUCCAUAAUUUGUACACUUUACUUCCUGAAAAUACCGGCCUGAAAUAGCAAAGAUAAGAUGGUGCUCCAUCUGGGCUCUGUGUCCAUGGAAAUGUCGGUUUCCUGGCUGACUUCACCCUGUCCCUGUAGCCCUUGUCUGUCAUUCCUGUUGGGGGCCAUGCCCUGCUUUGGAGUGGUGUGUGUCCCUGUUGGCAUGGCUUCCUGAGAGCUGUCACUGAACCUGGGAAUCAGAAGUAAACCCAA